RNAcentral lists this long non-coding RNA (276 nucleotides) under Panax ginseng (ginseng). RNAcentral describes it as "long non-coding RNA (PGIN_LNC002996)". The record is from RNAcentral. Lineage: Eukaryota; Viridiplantae; Streptophyta; Magnoliopsida; Apiales; Araliaceae.
UCACUAUUACAAUUAAGGAUAUAAACGAAUCGAACCGGAGCGAACAGAGAGCUACUCGAAUUCGACUCGAAAUGAUAAAUUCGUACUCAAAUUCGGCUCAAAUUCGAAUUAUAUUUGAAAUAUCCUACUCAGAUUCGACUCGACUCGAAUAUUUAUUACUCGAAUUCGAUCCGGCUCGACUCGAAUAUUUAUUCAAACUACUCGCGAACUUCAAAUUCAAGCUCGAAUCCGAGUCUCCACAUAAUAACUAGUUUUAUAAUAAAUAUAAUUAUAAAU